GACGAACGCUGGCGGCGUGCCUAAUACAUGCAAGUCGUGCGGACCUUUUAAAAGCUUGCUUUUAAAAGGUUAGCGGCGGACGGGUGAGUAACACGUGGGCAACCUGCCUGUAAGACUGGGAUAACGCCGGGAAACCGGGGCUAAUACCAGAUCGUUUUUUCCUCCGCAUGGAGGAAAAAGGAAAGGCGGCUUCGGCUGCCACUUACAGAUGGGCCUGCGGCGCAUUAGCUAGUUGGCGGGGUAACGGCCCACCAAGGCAACGAUGCGUAGCCGACCUGAGAGGGUGAUCGGCCACAUUGGGACUGAGACACGGCCCAAACUCCUACGGGAGGCAGCAGUAGGGAAUCUUCCGCAAUGGACGAAAGUCUGACGGAGCAACGCCGCGUGAGUGAAGAAGGCCUUCGGGUCGUAAAACUCUGUUGCCGGGGAAGAACAAGUGCCGUUCGAACAGGGCGGCGCCUUGACGGUACCCGGCCAGAAAGCCACGGCUAACUACGUG
Molecule: ribosomal RNA, 499 nt
Filed under: uncultured bacterium
Lineage: Bacteria
Description: partial 16S ribosomal RNA
Rfam family: Bacterial small subunit ribosomal RNA
Source: RNAcentral